This 255-nucleotide ribosomal RNA is filed under the name uncultured bacterium. RNAcentral's name for it is "partial 16S ribosomal RNA". It matches the Rfam family "Bacterial small subunit ribosomal RNA", at positions 524 to 777 of the family's 1533-position model. The record is from RNAcentral.
UACGGGGGGGGGCAAGCGUUGUUCGGAAUUACUGGGCGUAAAGGGCUCGUAGGCGGCCAACUAAGUCGGAUGUGAAAUCCCCAAGCUUAACUUGGGAACUGCAUCCGAUACUGGAUGGCUUGAAUCCGGGAGAGGGAUGCAGAAUUCCAGGUGUAGCGGUGAAAUGCGUAGAUAUCUGGAGGAAUACCGGUGGCGAAGGCGGCAUCCUGGACCGGCAUUGACGCUGAGGAGCGAAAGCUAGGGGAGCAAACGGGG